Spea bombifrons (plains spadefoot toad) is the source of this 342-nucleotide long non-coding RNA. RefSeq lists it as uncharacterized. The record is from RefSeq and is a predicted model, not a curated record. The transcript is spliced from 3 exons. Lineage: Eukaryota; Metazoa; Chordata; Amphibia; Anura; Pelobatidae.
UAACCUGACCUUAAAUAAAACAAUUUUAAAAACAAUAUAAACACAAUUCUGUCUGUCACCUCUUACUUUAUGCAGUUUCACAGGUUGAAAAGAAUCAUAUCCCCCUUUCUCUUGUGUCACAGGUACCCCUCAGACAUGAUAGUUAUCCCAAGGCUUGGAUUGCUUGACUUCUGCCAAACACAGUGACAGAGUGAAAACCUGUUCACAGAAAGAAGCCUUGUCAAAGCGAUCCAAGAUGUUUGAAAAGAGAAAGUCAUCUGAUGAGUGUUCAUCUACCCCACCACAAGGCACUUGUGGAAAGCAAACGAAUGAGGAAAAUGUGAAGAUGGAGAGCCCCAGCAG